This is a long non-coding RNA of Scleropages formosus (Asian bonytongue), 273 nucleotides long. RefSeq lists it as uncharacterized. The transcript is spliced from 3 exons. Lineage: Eukaryota; Metazoa; Chordata; Actinopteri; Osteoglossiformes; Osteoglossidae. The record is from RefSeq and is a predicted model, not a curated record.
AUACUGUUCUCUCUGCGCAUGUCUAUAUACGUUUUCCCGCUUUUUUGUGUCGUGGAGGUGGGGAUCUUUUUCACUAUCAAGGGUUUGCAACAGUACUGCGCGUUACGUAAAUUCGGUAUAACCCUGUCCAAGGAUCCUCAUUUUUGACUUAACGUGGUCGGAGCUGCUACCAGUGAAGGUUGUGAAAUGGUGGGCACACGACGCGGGGACGUCGAGAUAUCCGAUUUUUUGCUAGCUGCACUUCAGGAUCAUCUGGAGCACCAAAAAGAGGCC